CUUUGUUUUUCCAUCUCUCGCUCGUUGCCCGUGAUCUCUAUCAUACGGUGGCUGGCAAUUUUUUAAAACAUUUUAUGAUGGCGGAGGACAGUGAAUCCGCGGCCAGUCAGCAGAGCCUGGAGCUGGACGACCAGGAUACCUGCGGGAUAGACGGAGACAACGAAGAGGAGAAUGAGCAUAUGCAGGGGAGUCCUGGGGGAGAUAUGGGGGCCAAGAGGAAGAAGAAGAAGCAGAAGAGGAAGAAAGAAAAGCCAAGCUCGGGGGGAGCCAAGUCUGACUCUGCCUCUGACUCUCAGGAGAUCAAGAAUCCUGGCUUGCCCAUUCAGAAGCUGCAGGACAUCCAAAGAGCCAUGGAGCUACUGUCCUGCCAGGGUCCAGCAAAGAACAUCGAUGAGGCAGCCAAGCACAAGUACCAGUUCUGGGACACCCAGCCCGUGCCGAAGCUAAAUGAGGUGGUGACGAGUCAUGGGCCGAUAGAAGCAGACAAAGAAAACAUCAGACAGGAGCCAUAUUCCUUACCUCAAGGAUUUAUGUGGGACACUCUGGAUCUCAGCAACGCAGAUGUACUGAAGGAGUUGUACACAUUGUUAAAUGAGAACUACGUGGAGGAUGACGACAACAUGUUCAGAUUUGAUUAUUCACCAAACUUUCUCAAAUGGGCUCUGCGUCCACCUGGCUGGCUACCACAGUGGCAUUGUGGAGUGAGAGUGUCCUCAAAUAAGAAGCUUGUUGGCUUCAUCAGUGCCAUUCCUGCAGAUAUACGCAUCUAUGAAACACUGAAGAGGAUGGUUGAAAUCAACUUCCUGUGUGUCCAUAAGAAGCUGCGUUCAAAGCGCGUUGCUCCAGUGCUAAUCAGAGAGAUCACACGGAGGGUGAAUUUAGAAGGAAUAUUUCAGGCAGUAUACACAGCAGGAGUGGUACUGCCUAAACCUGUGUCCACAUGCAGGUAUUGGCAUCGUUCUUUGAACCCCAGGAAGCUUGUGGAAGUUAAAUUCUCCCACCUGAGCAGAAACAUGACCCUGCAAAGAACCAUGAAACUCUACAGACUACCAGAUAGCACCAAGACCCCAGGUCUGCGGCCGAUGGAGAGGCGUGACAUCCGCCAGGUCACCGAGCUGCUACAGAAGUACCUGAGACGUUUCCAUCUUGCACCAUCUAUGGGAGAAGAGGAGGUUGCUCACUGGUUCUUGCCACAGGACACCAUAAUUGACACAUAUGUAGUAGAGGGCGCUGGCGGUGUACUGACAGACUUCGCUAGUUUCUACACUCUGCCCUCGACUGUGAUGCACCACCCUCUCCACAGGAGCCUGAAGGCUGCUUAUUCUUUCUACAAUGUUCAUACACAAACCCCACUACUGGACUUAAUGAAUGAUGCACUCAUCCUGGCCAAACUGAAAGGUUUUGAUGUGUUCAAUGCCUUGGAUCUAAUGGAGAAUAAGGUGUUCCUGGAGAAGCUCAAGUUUGGCAUAGGAGAUGGAAAUCUGCAGUAUUACCUCUACAACUGGAAAUGUCCCCCAAUGGACCCUGAUAAGGUUGGCCUCGUCCUUCAGUAGCAGGUCUCUUCAUGGCUGCUACACAAACACUGAUCAGGAGGUCGUCAGCGACCUCUGCCUAUUCCUUACCUGGACAUACAGGUAGCCCAAGCUAGACAAUGAGAACUACAACAGUAAAAGCAACCGGGAGACUGGGAGGCGGUUCACCCGUCAUCAAGAACAUUCUCAGUUCACCUGGAGAGCCGUGAAUAGGAUGUCCCUGUAAAGCAGCUGAUUGGCCAGAAGUGCAACUGUGGGCUUGUAAACAUUUCUUUUAUUAAUACACAUAUAAGCAUCAGUUUUCUCACCUGAUGUGUCAUCAGAAAUCAAACUCUCAGCUAAAUACAACAAAGAGAAUUGAGCACAACAUUGAGUGUCUGGUGAAUAAUUUAGCAUUAGCAUGUAUUCGCAGUACAGUGGCUGAAUAAACAAAAGCCUGUAUCAGUAACCGCAUCAAUUUGAAAUUUGAGCUUUUCCUGUUUUUCCAGGUCCAUUUUUAUUGACUUCUCUGUAUUUGUUUUUUUUUAAUGGUACUGUAUUUGUGUGUCUGAAAAACAUACUGUGGGUCAAUUUUAUUGUGUUGUGCAGCUAAAUGCGUGAAAUUCUUUGAACAUUUCUGAUAUUUAUACUUGUACUUUGCAAAAUGUCUUCAGGCAUAAUUCCUGUUCUGUUUCUUUCCAGUAUUUCUCUAAAAUGUCCAGUUAAAUGGGAAACGUCAAAACUGAUUUUUGAGGGUUUGGAGUAUUUGGCAUGUCCCUGUGCUCAGCUGAGCAGGGUGAGGAUGGUUGAUGCUGCUGCUGGUGUACUCAAAGGUUAAAAGUGUUUUAAAAUAGUCUUUUUUGCUCUGAGUUUGUUACUUUGUGUUUGAUGUUCCUGUGUGGCUCUGCAUAAAUUAAGAGGUAGAGGCAGCUGCCAUUUUUGUUGUUCAUCUUUCUGUAUGUGGUGUAAUUUUCUUCUCAUCCCUUUAUAUCUUAGCAAGAAAAGGACAACCAACAGACAGCCAGUGCUUCAGGGUUUAAAGUUUUUUUUUUUUUUUUUUUUUAAACCAUAUUAAGGUCGAAUGAGUUGUAUUCACAAAGACAGAUGUUGCUGGCAUUAAUUUAGCACUGAAACUGAGUUGUUGAGUCAACGGUGUGCCUCAUGGAUGUUGGUUGUGUCACAGAUGUGUUGCCUGCAGCUGUUUGAAUGAACUUUGAGCAUGUCCGUUCUGCGGCCGUGAUGAUUUUAGCGUUGUUACUAGCCACACCCUUUAGUGAGAAAACCCGAAGUACCUGCCUUAUUUCAAAGAUUUUUUUUGUUUUUUAAUUACAAUUUUGGGGGUGGGGGGCGUACUUUUGAAAUGACAUACAGCUUUCUCUAACUGAAGAACAAUAUUUUUAUUCAAAUCCAUUGUAAGCUGUGAAAAAGCUGAAGAACUUGUACCAGCAUCAUUUAGACAUGACCCCAUGCAAAUAACAAUCUGUUUCAACACACGUCAGCUAUACCAGCAUGGAUAUUUGAUUGAAUAAACUCACUUUAAAAAGGA
This is an RNA transcript of Chelmon rostratus (copperband butterflyfish), 3057 nucleotides long. It is a transcript of the gene named N-myristoyltransferase 2, with no coding region annotated. The record is from RefSeq and is a predicted model, not a curated record. The transcript is spliced from 13 exons. Lineage: Eukaryota; Metazoa; Chordata; Actinopteri; Chaetodontiformes; Chaetodontidae.